RNAcentral lists this ribosomal RNA (906 nucleotides) under Trichodezia kindermanni. RNAcentral describes it as "partial 16S rRNA". The record is from RNAcentral. Lineage: Eukaryota; Metazoa; Arthropoda; Insecta; Lepidoptera; Geometridae.
AAUUAAUUUGAAAUGAAAUGUUAAUCGUUUUUAAAUAUAUCUAGUUUUUUCAGAAAAAAAUUUAAUUUUAAAUUUUUUAAGGGGAUAAUUAAUUAAUUAAUUAUUUUUUUUUGAAAAAUUUUAUAUUUUAGGGGAUAAGCUUUAAAUUAAAAAUUUAUAGUAAAAAUUAUUUGUUGGAAAAUUUUAUGAUUUAUAUUGUCAAUAAAAUUUAAUUUUAUUAUAAAUAAUUUCAUUUUAAUAAAAAUUUAAUUUAAUUUAAUUUUUUAUGGGGGAAAAAAUUUUAAUUAAAAAAAUUUAGUUAUAAUGAUAAAAUUAGUAUAGUUAAUUAUUAUUAUUAAAAUUUAAUUUAUUAAUUAAUUUAAUUAAUAAAAAGGAAUUCGGCAAAUAUUUAUAUUCACUUGUUUAUCAAAAACAUGUCUUUUUGAAUUUAAUUUAAAGUCUAAUCUGCCCACUGAUUUAUUAUUGAAGGGCUGCAGUAUAUUGACUGUACAAAGGUAGCAUAAUCAUUAGUCAUUUAAUUGAUGACUUGUAUGAAAGAUUGAAUGAAAUAUAAACUGUCUCUUUAUUAAUUUAUAGAACUUAAUUUUUUAAUCAAAAAGUUAAAAUAAUUUAAAAAGACGAAGAAGACCCUAUAGAGUUUUAUAAAAAAAAUUAUUUAUAAAUAUUUGUAAAAGAAAAGUUUAAAUAAAUUUUUUUUAUUUUGUUGGGGUGAUAAAAAAAUAAAAAAAACUUUUUUUCUAUUAAUUACAUAAAUAAAUGAUUAAUUGAUCCAAUUUUAUUGAUUAAAAGAAAUAAUUACCUUAGGGAUAACAGCGUAAUUUUUUUUUUUAGUUCAAAUAAGAAAAAGAGUUUGCGACCUCGAUGUUGGAUUAAGAUAAAAUUUAAAUGCAAAAGUUUAAAAUUUUG